UGCUGGUCCUGGAACUAAAUACCUUUAAAAAGUCUCAGUAAACACUGAGCAUAGAACUGUGCAUUUGGAAGUUCCUACAUGGAGUUCUUUUAAUAUUGAGGUUGAAAACUUACAAAGUAAAUGUAGAAUAUAUAGACUAAUUUUAACUUGGUCUCAGUCCACAGGUAGCCGUUUUCUUGUUGCGAGCUCACCGUAGAGAGAAGGUGAGAAAGCAGCUCUUAGGAGGGACGACCGUGCCACACUCCCCCCUCCGCUGCUCCUGUUGGAAUUUCGAGCGUGCAUGCACACACAUCCAGCAUGUUUUUCACGCUGCGAGGUCCAGUACUCAAACCACGGAGCCAGCUGCCCUUCUGAAUAACCAGAGGUGGAGAGUCAGGGUACAGGCGGGAGGGAGAGCAAGUUGCAGGAAAUGGGUCCUCUGGCCAGUGGCUUUGGUAGGGUGUACAUCCUACCUUGCGUCUUGCCAGCUUCCAGACAGCUGCUGGCCUUUUCAGCGUCCCCUGGCACUAGCCCCGUUCCCCCGUGCCUCGGCUCCUAUCACUGGCACUUGUGUCCUCACAAUCCGUGGGAUUCGGCCACCUUAACUCACCCUCCUUGAUACUGUUAACUUUCAAGGAAAAAAAGUAGCAGUGCUUACCAGCAGAGGGCAGUAGUUCCCUUCUGGUUGAGAAGUGCUCGCUCUGGACCUGAGUGCGCCUGCUCCGUGGAAGGCGGUGCAGCUCAGCUGUUCCCUGCUUUCCAGACGGGAUGGAGAUAGACACCAGCCGCACGGUGCUGGGCAGUUCGAGGACGCAGACGUUGAUCACUGAGACUGGUGAUGUGCUCUGAGAGUCUGCUCCUAACGGGAGGAGAGAACGUGUCUCUUCCACUCUGGAGUGCGGUCGAGGAAAGUCUGUACGUCUUCAGCUUGACCUGAACCAACUCUUUCUUAAGACAGACUAUACUGAGACAGCACGUUGUCACCAGCAGAAGAAACCAUGACCUUUAUUAACAAAGGACACGUCUUUGUCGUGGGUGGCCGCCCUGUGCAUCGUGGGAUAUUUAGGGCAUCCCUGGCCUCUACCCACUUGGUGCCAGUAGCACCUUCCCUCCCCACAACUGUGACAACCAAAAAACGUCUCCAGGCAUUGACCAAAUGACCGCUGGCAGGAGGUAAAAUCAUUCCACCGGGAACAACUGUCCUAGAGAAAUAUCCUGGUUCUCACGUACAAGAAGACAAAUCGGAGAUGAUUUAUAGUAGAACUGGGGAAAACCUAAAUGUGCAUUCUCAGAAAAAUAGCUAAAUCAACAAGUUUGCUGUUCCUCAAGAAUAGCUGCAGUAUUCUGAAAUGAGAGAAAUCUCUUUAUUCUCAAGACCUUCAAGAUAGAUCCUUGAACAACUACCACCAAAAGAAGCAAACUACGGAAAGUAAGAUACACUUCCUAUGUCAAUAUGACAUGCACGUAUAUGUAAUAUACAGUUUCUGUAGGGUCUUAUCCACACACUCAAUGCACAUACAGAGUUCGGGAGGCCAGUGCACCACACCUGAGGACUAACUGGGGGGAAGGCAGGCAGGGAGGGGAGGCGAGGGAUGGGAGCUAGCCGUCAGAAGGCACUUGAGUGUUUGGUUUUUUACAAAGAACAUACUCAUGUACUGUGUAAUUAAACAUGCAUGAUCUAAAUAGAAUCAUCAGCACAGAACUAUCAGAAAAUGGCUUUGAAAAACAAGUUCUUUUUUAUUGACAUUCUAAGGGGAGAUGGCAUAUAGCACGUGUCGAAGAGGUAUCCACAGUGAGAGCCAGCUGGCUGACCACCAGGCCUUAGAGGACAGUGUGACUUUGGCAAAAUCACCACAGCCCAAGACUAGGCCCCUAGAUCUGGUCAUUCUAGGCAUGAAUGUUUCUCUCUAUUCUCAAAGGGAACCCCUUUCUCUGUGACAGAAGAAUAUAGUAUUGGGUUGUCAGAAAAGUCACGACACACUUUGCAUAGAA
This is a long non-coding RNA of Tupaia belangeri chinensis (Chinese tree shrew), 1971 nucleotides long. RefSeq lists it as uncharacterized. The record is from RefSeq and is a predicted model, not a curated record. NCBI's taxonomy places the organism in Eukaryota, Metazoa, Chordata, Mammalia, Scandentia, Tupaiidae. The transcript has 3 exons.